Molecule: small nucleolar RNA, 82 nt
Organism: Macrosteles quadrilineatus (aster leafhopper)
Lineage: Eukaryota; Metazoa; Arthropoda; Insecta; Hemiptera; Cicadellidae
Product: small nucleolar RNA SNORD34
Exons: 1
Source: RefSeq, a predicted model, not a curated record
UGAGUUCUAUGAUGUUAAAUUUGAUUCCUUACCUACAUUAUCUGAACUUUCUAUGAAAGAUACACUAUUUUCUGAGAACUCA